GCCAGGUGCGGUGAUACACACCUGUAAUCCCAGCUACUUGGGAGGCUGAGGCAGGAGGAUCACAACUUCCAGGUCGGCCUGGGCAACUUAGUAAGACUUUGUCUCCA
Molecule: small RNA, 107 nt
Filed under: Marmota monax (woodchuck)
Lineage: Eukaryota; Metazoa; Chordata; Mammalia; Rodentia; Sciuridae
Source: RNAcentral